This 57-nucleotide microRNA precursor is filed under the name Homo sapiens (human). Its description in RNAcentral is "Hsa-Mir-506-P6c_pre stem-loop". The record is from RNAcentral. Lineage: Eukaryota; Metazoa; Chordata; Mammalia; Primates; Hominidae.
UACUCAAAAAGCUGUCAGUCACUUAGAUUACAUGUGACUGACACCUCUUUGGGUGAA